Molecule: long non-coding RNA, 242 nt
Filed under: Elaeis guineensis (African oil palm)
Lineage: Eukaryota; Viridiplantae; Streptophyta; Magnoliopsida; Arecales; Arecaceae
Description: long non-coding RNA (EGUI_LNC027198)
Source: RNAcentral
GGUCGUCCAUGUUUUUUUUAUAUUUUUGACUGAAUUAUUAUGAUAUAAAAUAUCACAAGACUCGAUGUGGAUCAUUUUGACCAUCAUAAUUUAUGUUGAAUAAAGUCCAAGAGUGAGAUCCAUUAUAUUGGGAGAUUGAAUUGCGAGCCAAAUUUUUGACUUGAUCACAUGAUCCAUGAUUGAGAUGAUCAAUUUUUGAAAUCAAAAGAACUUUAAAAUUUAUAAUGUGACACCCCCAAGGG